Molecule: transfer RNA, 73 nt
Filed under: Salvia splendens (bonfire salvia)
Lineage: Eukaryota; Viridiplantae; Streptophyta; Magnoliopsida; Lamiales; Lamiaceae
Description: tRNA-Met
Source: RNAcentral
GGGGUGGUGGCGCAGUUGGCUUGCGCGUAGGUCUCAUAAUCCUGAGCUCGAGAGUUCGAUCGAUUCUUUUUCU